RNAcentral lists this long non-coding RNA (240 nucleotides) under Capsicum annuum. RNAcentral's name for it is "long non-coding RNA (CANN_LNC011279)". The record is from RNAcentral. Lineage: Eukaryota; Viridiplantae; Streptophyta; Magnoliopsida; Solanales; Solanaceae.
UUCAAUUUUCUUUACUUCAGCUUACUUUGGUUGUUGCAUCAGGAAUCUUGGAGAGAACAUUCGGACCAACUAUCACAACGAAAGGAUCGUGACCCUUUUUUAUAGAGCAGCUAAAGCAUAUAGUAGAGAGGAGUUUUUAGACCAUUUCAAUUAAAUAAUGGAUGUGAAUCUCAAGGUAGCAGAAUUUCUCGUACGUGUCGAUUUUGAGAGAUGGAGACUGGCAGUUCGACAGAUAGGUAC